UGGUUCGGCAACAGGCUUCGGCCAUUCUUGCCCGCUGCUUCCCCUGACUUCCUGUCAUGUCUCACCGCAAAGGGUUUGACUUGCAACACCUUCCAAAGCAGUGUGCAGAUUUUGAGUGGUGUACAGCCACAGAUGACCCUCAACACGCAGGUGUUUGUCUACACAUACUUCAUUAAAGUUUUCUUUACCACCAACAACACCACAGACCCCAGCUGCAGAUCAAGCACAAACAGCAGUGUUGAAUGGCUGCAGAAGAACCUGGGAGGUUUCUCUUACCUUAUACCCAUCCAGGAAAUACAGAUAUUCUACCCCAGCUUU
This is a long non-coding RNA of Monopterus albus (swamp eel), 318 nucleotides long. RefSeq lists it as uncharacterized. NCBI's taxonomy places the organism in Eukaryota, Metazoa, Chordata, Actinopteri, Synbranchiformes, Synbranchidae. The record is from RefSeq and is a predicted model, not a curated record. The transcript is spliced from 3 exons.